Molecule: unclassified non-coding RNA, 233 nt
Filed under: Hevea brasiliensis (rubber tree)
Lineage: Eukaryota; Viridiplantae; Streptophyta; Magnoliopsida; Malpighiales; Euphorbiaceae
Source: RNAcentral
GUGGUUGUGUAACGGCGGAUGAAAUUGUAUGGUUCGGUCAUGGCUUGGCUAUGCAUAAAUAAGCAACAUUGUAACAGAACUUUGCAGCUAGCUCAAAGGCUUUUGCUCCACCUGGAACAGCAGGAACAGCUAUCUUUGAAACUUUUGAAUCUUUUCCUUCCAACAACAGUUUUCAAAUUCUUCAACUCCGAGAUACAAGAGGGAACUUGUGAAGUGCAAAGCUUGAUGCUCCA